Long non-coding RNA from Pseudoliparis swirei, 823 nucleotides. RefSeq lists it as uncharacterized. The record is from RefSeq and is a predicted model, not a curated record. The transcript has 4 exons. Lineage: Eukaryota; Metazoa; Chordata; Actinopteri; Perciformes; Liparidae.
GGAGAGUAAUUUUUCCAGAGUUAACAUUAUUUUCCUCUGAAAGAGUCAUUUUUAUUCAUUUCGGAUUAUAAUUAUUUCCGAUGACCACAAGAAUGGGAGUAAAAAAACAGAGUAAACCUUAUUGGAGUAAUAUUAAGAACACGCCCACUAAUGUUUGUUAAGUUUCGUUUCUGCCGCCAUUUUCUAGUCCCGCAGUGCAAGGUGAGGUGAGUGGCAGUGAGACGGCGGUGAGCCAGGUAAGUCUGCAAAGUACUACAUAUCGAAUUUAAUAGGAUAAAAUGUCAUCAGCAUUUUUUGUUGGCUUAUUUGAAAAGUAAAGCCGGUGAGUUACAUGAUAGCUGGCGAAUUUGUGUGUUAGGGUCAUUUUCUCACGUUGUUCGGUUAGUAAGCACAUGUGUUUUACUCUAAAUUUAAUGGUGUACAUUGACGUGACAUCUUGUGUGUGUUUCAACUACUAUUGGGCUAGCAAGCACGAGGAUGAAUGCUGUUGGAGUGAAGUACAGAGAUCAACAAAAAUACCUCUAUUUUGAGGGCCAAGUUACCUAUGCAUCGUUUUUGGAAAGUGCUUCCAAGAAGUUCAGCAUCCCAACCUUGGACUUAAGAGUCUUUGAUGACACAGACUGAGGUUGAUGAAGAAGUCUUUGAUUUCCUCGUGAAAAAACAAAACCUAGGUGUGCUCGAGAAGGUCCAAAUUCAGAUGAUUGCCUGAGUUCCCCUGCAAGCAGCUCCUUUACCAGCUCCAGUGGGGAUAUUGAUGGGGACUCUGAUGACACUGUAAUAUUGCAGUGCAGUCCUGCCACAAGACGGAGAGCUGAAAACCUCU